CCCUGCCCACCCUCUGCUGCAGACCCCCCUCCAGUACACUGUAUAUAGUGGCAACGCAGCCCACAUGCCCCGGGUGUCCCCUGCCCACACACUACUUGCAGCCCCUCUCACCUGGGUCCUGGGCAGAGCCGCCGGCGGGAAAGUGCAGCCGGUGCUGCUGCUGUGAGGAGGAGGAGAGAGCGCCGCCGCCGCUGCACGAUGCACUCCCAGCUCUGGGCUUCCCGCCGCCGCCUCCGGGCCCGCUGCUGCUGCUGCACUUGGUUCUGCCCCCUCCCCGGUGCUGCUGGCGGCUGCGGGGUAACGGAGGAGAUCACCGGGCGGCUGUCAGGCUCCCACCACCAGCAGCAGCAGCGUGAGGCGAGGAGUCAGGGGGAAUGAGGAGAGGGGAGCUGAUGGUUUUCAACACGUUUAUGUGAGAAAUCGUCUAUCUGGGUAUCUGGUUGGGAUAUUUCAUAAAUCAUAUGCCCUACUCUACGGAUGAACACAAAUGGACCCUGCCAUUACGCUAGCAGUUUAUUUCCCUGUGUGGGCAAAAGUAACAAAACCUUAUCACCAGUCACAAGUUGAUUUUGCAUGCUCACAACAGUAUUGUAUAAUUUCCCCUUCUACCUUCACCUCAAGGACAUGGCUACCCAAGGCUUCUUUCCAUAGAGAAACUCAAAUGACGUGAAGCUAGAAGAAUUGUUGGGCACCACCUGGAUGACAAUCAGAAGAUGAAAGUUCCAUGAUUUGCAAGGCGCAGAGAUUGGUUUUAAUAUGGCACUUCAAAAGUAUGCACAGAAGUACAGAGAUAGACUCAAGAAUGAUGGGCACAGACGACCCUCUAAGCCUUCACCUGCAGCUCCAGGGAAACGCGUUGAGCUACAUAAAUUAUGCACUGAGGCUAUUUGUCUUAUGAACUUCUGAAUACCAUCUGUGACUACAAUUUGGACCGUAGAUAUCUCCAUUUGACUCUAAAGUUGGCUUAUUAUCUACGGACAACCCCUAGAGCACAACCUAAUUGAGGACUGAGUGCUCACAGACAUCUGGGGGCUUUCUAUAUUGUCUGCUAAACAAAAAUUCUAAAUUGAACGCUAUUGACCUACCGUGGAGAAGGUCCUAGUUCAGUAAAUAUAGGAGUAUGAGAAGUAUGAUAAGGGGCUCUAUACAUUCUUUCUUUUAUACAGAGCUGCUGAUUCAUUGUGACAAAUAAGGAUUUUAAUAAUAUAUUUUAUUGUGCUCAUAUAUUUUUAUAUGUCUCCUGGGCUGCAAGCCAAACGCACAUGUCAGGCUGAUACAAUAACUUUCUGGUGUGUGCAGAUUUUAGUCUACUGAAUCAACACAAUUGCCACAUUUUAUCCAGGUGUUAUAUGAUUUGUGAGACCUGACGGUUCAGGAUAUCUAUAACCCCAUAAUUGGGUUCAAGGUGUACAGUUAGCCCUCAAAACGAAAUACUAUCAAUUUCUUUGUCUUAUUGUUCGGGCACUACUUUGGUCCUUCUUGGGAUGAACGCAAAAUGUUUUUAAUAAAUAAUUUUAAAGAAAAA
Molecule: long non-coding RNA, 1525 nt
Organism: Pseudophryne corroboree (corroboree frog)
Lineage: Eukaryota; Metazoa; Chordata; Amphibia; Anura; Myobatrachidae
Exons: 5
Source: RefSeq, a predicted model, not a curated record